RNAcentral lists this ribosomal RNA (468 nucleotides) under uncultured bacterium. Its description in RNAcentral is "partial 16S ribosomal RNA". It matches the Rfam family "Bacterial small subunit ribosomal RNA", at positions 28 to 507 of the family's 1533-position model. The record is from RNAcentral.
GACGAACGCUGGCGGUGUGCUUAACACAUGCAAGUCGAACGGAAAGGCCCUGCUGUUGUGCUGUGCUCGAGGGGCGAACGGGUGCGUAACAGGUGAGCAACCUGCCCUUGUCUUUGGGGUAGCUUCACGAAAGGGGAGCUAAUACCGGAUAGGAGCUCCUCUUCCGUGGAGAGCGGGGGAAAUUCCAGGCGGGUGGGGAUGGAGUCGCGGCUUAAGAGCUUGUUGGUUGGGGAGUGGCAUACCAAGGCUGUGGCCGGUACGCGGCCUGAGAGGGUGACCGGGCACCAGGGGACUGAGGGACGGCCCAGACUCCUACGGGGGGCAAGAGUGGGGAAUAUUGCACAAUGGGCGGGAGCCUGAUGCAGGAACGCCGGGUGCGGGAAGACGGCCUUCGGGUUGUAAAAAGCUUCCGCCUGUGACUACGCGUGAGUGACGGUAAUCGAUGAAGAAGCACCGGCUAACUACGUG